This is a long non-coding RNA of Rosa chinensis, 721 nucleotides long. RefSeq lists it as uncharacterized. The transcript has 6 exons. The record is from RefSeq and is a predicted model, not a curated record. NCBI's taxonomy places the organism in Eukaryota, Viridiplantae, Streptophyta, Magnoliopsida, Rosales, Rosaceae.
GCAAUGAGUUGCAUAAUGGGAAGUUGAUUGUGCAGAAUUGGGGAUUUCGGAGUUGGCCUGAUGGGAUUCAGUCAAUGGCUAUCCCACUAAGAGUUAAUCUUUAUGUGAAUGAAAUACUCCAAAGCUUACCAACAUUUAGGAAUCUCAAUCAUUUGAACUUGGACCUCUAUUCAUAUUGAACUAAACGUGAAGAUGUUGAUCUGGUGCCUGAUUCCAAAUUCUAACAAGACUGAUAAGGCUUCAAUGCUGGAUGAAGCAGUUGAGUAUUUGAAGCAGCUCCAGCUGACCAGCUUCAGCUGACCAGCUUCAAGUACAGAGGGGAGAAAGGAAGAAACAGAAGAAGGGGGAGACGGGAAGGACAGAAGAGGCAGGGAAAUCCAAAAGACGAGACAGAUUCAAGGAUAUGUCUGCUGGAACAAGGAACAACUUUGAAAACAAGUUUUGGGCCAAAAGCCAAGAUAGUGGCAGCAUCCAUUCAUUUUAUGAUGUCGGUGCUAAUCCACUUGACAAACAAGUAUCAAUAUCAAAAUCUGACAAGAGGAGGCGAUUAAUGUUAAAGGGUACCGUUGGUAGCAGUAUUCAAGAUGUGACAAACCAGGGCACAUUUUGCUUUCUGGCUAUGAUUUCUGGUAACAACCGCUGCAUAAGACAAUGAUAAGCACAUCAUGGGGUGCCCCCGCUGCUUUCACCAAAGGUUUCAACCUUCAGCAUGUCUCUGAUG